Molecule: ribosomal RNA, 253 nt
Filed under: uncultured bacterium
Lineage: Bacteria
Description: partial 16S ribosomal RNA
Rfam family: Bacterial small subunit ribosomal RNA
Source: RNAcentral
UACGUAGGGGGCUAGCGUUGUCCGGAUUUAUUGGGCGUAAAGAGCGUGUAGGCGGCCAUGUAGGUCCGGUGUGAAAACUCGAGGCUCAACCUCGAGAUGUCGGCGGAAACCAUUUGGCUAGAGUCCGGAAGAGGAAAGUGGAAUUCCUGGUGUAGCGGUGAAAUGCGCAGAUAUCAGGAAGAACACCCGUGGCGAAGGCGGCUUUCUGGGACGGUACUGACGCUGAGACGCGAAAGCGUGGGGAGCGAACAGG